Molecule: small RNA, 442 nt
Filed under: Pongo abelii (Sumatran orangutan)
Lineage: Eukaryota; Metazoa; Chordata; Mammalia; Primates; Hominidae
Description: processed transcript
Source: RNAcentral
UUCCACAAGUUUUUAAGGCUCUUAACCCACACUUUCACUCCUCUGCUACCAGUCUUCAGUGUUGUUAACAGCAAGAGAAAAUUGGAUUUGUUUAAAAAUCUACUUCUCUGAGGUGGCACAGUUGCGUAGCUGCAGUCCCAGCUACUCAGGAGGCUGAGGUAGGAGGAUUGCUUGAGCCCGGGAGUGUAGUGGCACAAUCGGCUCACUGCAACCUCUGCCUCCCAGGUUCAUGCCAUUCUCCUGCCUCAGCCUCCCGAGUAGCUGGGACUACAGGUGUCUGCCGCCACGCCUGGCUAAUUUUUUUGUAUUUUUAGUAGAGACGGGAUUUCACCAUGUUGUCCAGGAUGGUCUCGAUUUCCUGACCUCGUGAUCCGCCCGUCUCAGCCUCCCAAAGUGCUGGGAUUUCAGGCGUGAGCCACUGCGCCUGGCCUAUAAGAUACAG